GAUGAACGCUGGCGGCGUGCCUAAGACAUGCAAGUCGAGUGGGUUUAGACCCACGGCAAACGGGUGAGUAAUAUUUAGGAACGUGCCUCUAGUUGAGCAUAACCUAUCGAAAGGUAGAGUAAUUCUCAAUGUGACCGCAAGGUUAAAGUCGCAAGACGCUAGAGAAGCGGCCUGGACACCAUCAGCUGGUUGGUAAGGUAAUGGCUUACCAAGGCUUUGACGGUUAGGGGUCCCGAGAGGGGAUAACCCCCCACACUGGAACUGAGACACGGUCCAGACUCCUACGGGAGGCAGCAGUUUGGAAUUUUGGACAAUGGGCGAAAGCCUGAUCCAGCGACGCCGCGUGGACGAUGAAGGCCC
RNAcentral lists this ribosomal RNA (360 nucleotides) under uncultured bacterium. RNAcentral's name for it is "bacterial SSU rRNA". It matches the Rfam family "Bacterial small subunit ribosomal RNA", at positions 28 to 417 of the family's 1533-position model. The record is from RNAcentral.